GCCACACGAUAAUUUUAAGGGUUAAACAAUACAUAUUAUCAUGGACGAGAUUAACUUAAAGGGAACGUUAGAGAUUACGUUUGCCAUUCAUCGAUGUGCGUUGAUUUCUUUUUCUUGUCCUUCUCGUAUGAUCACCCUUUCACUCCUUCCAUCUCCUUGUUGUUUUGGGCCGCAGGCUUGUUUAGCUGUAUCUGCAUCCUGCUCUGUAUAUGUAUCCACACAUAAAGAUGAACCUGAUUCUACACCUCCUCUUAAAGCAGUGACGCCACAACAUCAUUGUCAUUAGCACUAAAUGAAUUUCUGCUUCAUAAGAAGAUAGGUAUUACGUAUAUUACUAGUUUGUAAAAGAGACAUGCGGUGAAAUAGAGCAAUGCAUGCAGUAAUUUACUACUCCGGCCUCUAGACAGGGUGCAACACAGCCAACAAUGAAUCUCAAGUAUAUCUGUAAAUUCAUUUGUAAUGGGUUUUACAUAUUGGUUCUAAGAUUUAAAAUGAGAAAAUAACCUUGCAUAUUUUGUUACUGGAGAUGCAUCCACAGAGAAGCACGGUUAUUCCACCAUUUACAGGACAAUCAUGGAGGCAAUCCUAAACAUGGUUGCAACAGAGCUCCUUACAUCUCCUGAGGC
This 626-nucleotide long non-coding RNA is filed under the name Oryza brachyantha (malo sina). RNAcentral describes it as "long non-coding RNA (OBRA_LNC001599)". Lineage: Eukaryota; Viridiplantae; Streptophyta; Magnoliopsida; Poales; Poaceae. The record is from RNAcentral.